This is a non-coding RNA of Meleagris gallopavo (turkey), 1125 nucleotides long. NCBI's taxonomy places the organism in Eukaryota, Metazoa, Chordata, Aves, Galliformes, Phasianidae. The record is from RefSeq and is a predicted model, not a curated record.
UUCAGGGAUUUACUCCCUGUUCAGGACACUGUUCCCCCCAAGAUGCUUAAGAGGUUUCAUAGUAAGGGGGAGAUAUUUUCCAGCAAAUACUUGUAUAAACAAAAUUUCCUGAUUUAAAGGAGUAAUCUGUCAUGUUGUUUGUUUUCUGACCUCACCAGGUGCUGAUAAAUCCAAUCUAGCAACCAGAACAGCCAGUGCUUUGUGCUCGGCUGAAGAUGGAUGUGUCAAUUACAGGUAAAGUGUUUCUCUGAUACGAAGUAGGAUGUUCCAGAGGAAUGGGCAGGCCUUUGCACAGGACCGGGGCAGUGGGGCCAGGACAGGGAAAGCCACGGCCUGAGAGCAAUGACUUCUCUGGAACUUGACAAUGGAGGCUCAGCCCCAUGCCUAAGAGCCAAAGCCCUCCAGCACCCUGCCCGGGACUUUUCCUGCCCUGUGCUCCAGCUAUGGGAUAAGGAGGGACCACCGCCAUGUCUGGGCUGCCAGUACAGCUUCCUGAUGACUGCAAAUUAAGUUCAAGCUCCACUGUUUUUAGAGAAGCACGGGAACAGCUGAGGUGUAUGAACUGUGGGAAAAGUCCCAGCUAUGGAAGCGAUCAGCCUGAGCAUCCUACGUGUCAGUGCUGCCUCCUGGAUUGCUGGUGGUAGGUGGACGAUUGGACUAGAUGAUCUUAGAGGUCUUUUCCAACCGUAAUGAUUCUAUGACAGUCUGAUGUGUCCUCCCUUCCCCAGAACCGUUCAGAACUGGGUGUUUGACUUCCCGUCAGGAAACACAAGUAUUUACCCUCCCUGACAAAAGGCUCCUCUAGCAGCUGACCCUUUGCCAGGCUGGUUUUGAGUACCGAGCCAGGAGUGCAAUUACUUUAACAGCCGCUGUAACAUCCCAGAGCAGCUACUGAAAAAAGAGACCAAGGGCUGAGCCACGCUCCUCCCUCAGAGCUCUUGCACGCAUGCUUCCAGCCUAGCAUUAGCUGUCAUCCUCUUCUGCAGUCCAUUAGAGCCUUAUGUUUCCAGGCAAGACACAAAGCUCGAAUCUGAGGACAUGCUUUAGAGGAACUAGUGAUAUGAGCAUCCUUCCACACCUGUCUGCCUGGAUCACGAAGUGAAGCAGAUGAGCUCUGUUUCCAGG